RNAcentral lists this long non-coding RNA (1263 nucleotides) under Olea europaea subsp. europaea. Lineage: Eukaryota; Viridiplantae; Streptophyta; Magnoliopsida; Lamiales; Oleaceae. The record is from RNAcentral.
UUGAAGCCUCCAUCAACUUCGGAGGUGGAGGUGCAACAUACUUAGCAACUAGGGCAACAGUAAUGCCAAACUUCUCAGAGGAAGAGCUGCUAUGGGACUGUUUCCUCUUUUUCUAUGGCGCAUCUACCUUUUCCUUGCCCUUAUCAACCCCCUCCAGAUGUUUGUCGGCCCUCUGCCUCGCUUCUUCAGCAUGAUCUUUGCUGAAGUGCUCAAGUUUUUCUUUCACGUGCAUGGCAGCUCCAAAGAAGGGUCGUAAAGCCUUGGAGCCCACAGUGGUGGUGGGAUUCAAAAUCGAAGCCAUGUCAGGAGUUGGGUACUUCUUCCUCCCAAAAUCAUUUGCAAACAGCGAAAGCAAUGUCAAAAUCUAAAGAAAGGAACUCCGUGAUUAAAAAGGGGGGUUUGGUGCUUACCCUUUGAGGCCAUCAGUCCGAAGUCUAAGAAGUACUUGCUUCAGUCAAUAAGUUGAUCAAAGUGGCAUAGCUUUAGAUGACUCCCACUUCCCAAGGAUGCAGGGUUGGAAAAGUGUUUAAAAGACAUACAGACGCAUAUCCUUCCCCAACAAGGUCUCCUUCCAAAGGAAGUAAGCCCCCAUAAUUGACUCGCGAAGCCAACGUAAAAGACCUAAGUACCGCCUUAAAAAAUGGGUAACUCUAUGGUGUCUAGGGUCCUAUAUUUUUCCCUAAGUUCAACCAAUUUGGUGGAGGUCAUAGCAGAAGGAAUUUUAGCAACCCCAUCCCAUCUCAUAGUCGAUGGGACCCUAACUCAUACCCAAUAGCCCCCCUCUGACCUACAAGGCACAACGUCUUCUCUCUUGUUGAUUAUACACUUGCCUUGAUAGAGUUAUGAUUGCUUUGCUUUGUUUGAGUUGUUUGUGAUUGGUUAUUAUUAUACAAUCAUUCCCGUAUAUCUCAUCAACGUCUGAACAUUUUUGUCUUGUAUCAUAGAAUAUCUCCCACGUUCAUAUACAAGAACUCCUUCGACCAAGUUUCCAAUCAACACAUGUUGGAAUUUACUCACUUGUGUAUACGAGUGGACCCGGUAUUUGUUGUCCGCAUCAUCCUAAUAGAAACCGAGGUCAACAUAAACCAUAGAAACUAUAUAAUUUUCUUUGAUCUUAUAGGAUGAAGCUAUCAAUGUAUGCAACUGUCACAACUAUCAUUCCAAACUUGGACGAUCUAUUUAGAAUACCAGGCCAUAUCCUUCUUUACUUGAGUAUCCUUUUUUGUCUGUGACUUUUGAUUUUUAAGCAAUUUGACACGAGGG